GCCUGGGUGGCUCAAUUGGGUAAGCAUCUGACUUCAGCUCAGGUCAUGACCUCAUGGUUAGUGGGUUCGAGCCCCACGUCAGGCU
This 85-nucleotide transfer RNA is filed under the name Felis catus (domestic cat). It matches the Rfam family "tRNA". From Rfam's summary of the family: Transfer RNA (tRNA) molecules are approximately 80 nucleotides in length. Lineage: Eukaryota; Metazoa; Chordata; Mammalia; Carnivora; Felidae. The record is from Rfam by way of RNAcentral.